RNAcentral lists this ribosomal RNA (466 nucleotides) under uncultured bacterium. RNAcentral describes it as "partial 16S ribosomal RNA". It matches the Rfam family "Bacterial small subunit ribosomal RNA", at positions 28 to 506 of the family's 1533-position model. The record is from RNAcentral.
GACGAACGCUGGCGGCGUGCUUAACACAUGCAAGUCGAACGGAAAGGCCCUGCUUUUGUGGGGUGCUCGAGUGGCGAACGGGUGAGUAACACGUGAGUAACCUGCCCUUGACUUUGGGAUAACUUCAGGAAACUGGGGCUAAUACCGGAUAGGAGCUCCUGCUGCAUGGUGGGGGUUGGAAAGUUUCGGCGGUUGGGGAUGGACUCGCGGCUUAUCAGCUUGUUGGUGGGGUAGUGGCUACCAAGGCUUUGACGGGUAGCCGGCCUGAGAGGGGGACCGGCCACAUUGGGACUGAGAUACGGCCCAGACUCCUACGGGAGGCAGCAGUGGGGAAUAUUGCACAAUGGGCGGAAGCCUGAUGCAGCAACGCCGCGUGCGGGAUGACGGCCUUCGGGUUGUAACCCGCUUUCGCCUGUGACGAAGCGUGAGUGACGGUAGUGAGUAAAGAAGCACCGGCUAACUACGU